CGCGUUUCUCAUGCUCACCGUGUAGGAAGCAGUUUUAUCACGGACUGGCAUUGCAAUUUUCUGCUUCUUGCUCUUAUCGGAUGCCAUGGCUACCCAGCGGGCACACAGGGCAGAGACACCUGCACACCCCAACCGCCUGUGGAUCUGGGAGAAGCACGUGUACUUGGAUGAGUUUCGUCGAAGCUGGCUGCCCGUAGUCAUCAAGAGUAAUGAAAAAUUCCAGGUGAUCUUGCGCCAGGAAGAUGUCACCUUGGGGGAAGCUAUGUCCCCCAGUCAGCUGGUGCCUUACGAGCUGCCUUUAAUGUGGCAACUGUACCCCAAGGACAGGUACCGAAGCUGCGACUCCAUGUAUUGGCAGAUCCUGUACCAUAUCAAGGCAAGCACGGCUUUCCCCAAGGACCGAGGUUAGAAAGAUAGAAGAAGCCAUCAUCUAAGGUCUUAGCCAAACCCCUUGGCACCAGGAGCCCUCUGUGGUAGUCACUGACUGAAACCAGUUGAGAGGGCUAGCCACCUCACCUCAGGACCCAGUACUAACCCAGGCUGAAGAAAGCUGAGCCAGAAAGAAAGGGGAAUUCCCAGGGCUGGUCUGACCACUCGCUUGUCCCUCUCCUUCUCCGCCCUCAGUUUAGAGACGUGGAGGACAUGUUGCUUGAACUGAUAGACUCGGAGUCCAACGAUGAAUAACCCAGACCCGGUCCUGCAGCUCCUGUCUGCCUUGCCCAGGCCUGGCCCCACAGGGGAGAUGUUGGUACUUAUGUUCUGUCUGUUCGCUAGUCAUGUCCUUUUUCCUCUACACUGGGCUCCAAGAAGAAAACUCUGGCCAGACGCUGCCCCUUCCCAUGCUGCUGUUGCCUGCUCGGCUGCCUUGGUUGGUCCCUCAGCUCUGCUGACUCCCUGGCAAGGGGCUCCAGAGAAGAUCCCAGUUCUCCUCACCUCCUCUAGGUGCUCAGUGGUGUCUGUGCCUCUGAUGAUCUUAGCUGAUUGACUCUUCCGUCUUUCCCUUUGGCCUCACAAGACAACUAGUGUCUCUGACUUAUGAACUUGCCUUCUUCCUCACGGGUCCCUCAGCAGUACAUACACCAUGAGGGACAAGACCUCGUCAUUGGAAUCUGGCCAGGCCCCAGAUCAGCCAUCACUCAAGGUGUUGUGCCUGUACCCACCUGACCUGUGAAGCCCCACCUACCCAGCAAACAUAGGCUUUGAUUGCAGAGCGGUGUAAGACCUGAGAGCUCUCUUGCCCUUCCUUAGAACCUAGGUGCUUGCAGCCAGGGAUAUGCAAACCUGGGGCCUAUGGCCUCACUAGAACAAGAGGCCAGGCAGUGGGCCUGGUUCAGAUGGGCCCUCUGAUUGCCUGUGUGCAGGCUUCCUCUCUGGGUGUUCAGGUUCUGUAUUUAGUGUAAACACGUCCUGUCGCUGAUUAAAUAUUUCACUCACCUAAGUUGGGCCAAAUCGGCUUCCAUCCUUGACCGAGAUGCCAAUAAAUGAGGGAGAGAAGACUGCUCCGGGGUCUCCCAGAGAAGCCAGGGUCACCCAGGGAAGCCUUGGUCUCCUAGUAAGAAUGUUGAAAGGGAAUGUGUGGGAUUUUAUGUGGUUCUAUUUUAGAGAUACGGCUGGAUUUAAUAAAGCUUUGUAGAACUUUAAAA
RNA transcript from Mus musculus (house mouse), 1643 nucleotides. It is a transcript of the gene named T cell lymphoma breakpoint 1, with no coding region annotated. The record is from RefSeq and is marked validated. Lineage: Eukaryota; Metazoa; Chordata; Mammalia; Rodentia; Muridae. The transcript is spliced from 4 exons.